GACAGAAACGGCCUUUUUGCUUCUCAUGGG
RNAcentral lists this non-coding RNA (30 nucleotides) under Rattus norvegicus (Norway rat). The record is from RNAcentral. Lineage: Eukaryota; Metazoa; Chordata; Mammalia; Rodentia; Muridae.